This 372-nucleotide ribosomal RNA is filed under the name uncultured organism. RNAcentral describes it as "bacterial SSU rRNA". It matches the Rfam family "Bacterial small subunit ribosomal RNA", at positions 526 to 896 of the family's 1533-position model. The record is from RNAcentral.
CGUAGGGUGCGAGCGUUAAUCGGAAUUACUGGGCGUAAAGUGUGCGCAGGCGGCCAUGCAAGUCGAGUGUGAAAGCCCCGGGCUUAACUUGGGAAUUGCGCUCGAAACUACGUGGCUGGAGUGUGGCAGAGGAAGGUGGAAUUCCACGUGUAGCGGUGAAAUGCGUAGAGAUGUGGAGGAACACCAAUGGCGAAGGCAGCCUUCUGGGCCAACACUGACGCUCAUGCACGAAAGCGUGGGGAGCAAACAGGAUUAGAUACCCUGGUAGUCCACGCCCUAAACGAUGACGACUAGUUGUUGGAGGAGUUAAAUCCUUUAGUAGCGCAGCUAACGCGCGAAGUCGUCCGCCUGGGGAGUACGGUCGCAAGAUUA